This 220-nucleotide unclassified non-coding RNA is filed under the name Hevea brasiliensis (rubber tree). Lineage: Eukaryota; Viridiplantae; Streptophyta; Magnoliopsida; Malpighiales; Euphorbiaceae. The record is from RNAcentral.
AUCUGUGCUGGAAACAUGCUUGCUAGGAUGCAACUUGCAAUUCUUCUGCAUCAUCUAUCUGUGGGAUACAAGUGGGAACUACUUAAUCCGGAUGCCAAGAUGAUUUAUUUACCUAAUCCUGCACCGGCUGAUGGAGCUGAGAUCGCAUUCAGCAAAAUUUAGGGAUACAUGUGAUCUCUUUGACUUUGUUGUUAAUUAAAUAAAAUAAUGACUAAUUAAG